Molecule: ribosomal RNA, 621 nt
Filed under: Tephrocybe rancida
Lineage: Eukaryota; Fungi; Basidiomycota; Agaricomycetes; Agaricales; Lyophyllaceae
Description: eukaryotic LSU rRNA
Rfam family: 5.8S ribosomal RNA (bases 227-380)
Source: RNAcentral
CCUGGUUGGGUUGUGCUGGCCUCUAGGGGCAUGUGCACGCCUAGCCACCGUUUUCAACCACCUGUGCACCUUUUGUAGACCUGGAUACCUCUCGAGGCAACUCGGUUUGGGGAUUGCUGUGCUGUCAAAGCCAGCUUUUCUUACCCGUCCGGUCUACGUCUUUAUAUACCCCAUAAGAAUGUAACAGAAUGUCUAUUUACUGGCCUCCGUGCCUUUAAUCUAAUACAACUUUCAACAACGGAUCUCUUGGCUCUCGCAUCGAUGAAGAACGCAGCGAAAUGCGAUAAGUAAUGUGAAUUGCAGAAUUCAGUGAAUCAUCGAAUCUUUGAACGCACCUUGCGCUCCUUGGUAUUCCGAGGAGCAUGCCUGUUUGAGUGUCAUUAAAUUCUCAACCUAACCAGCUUUUGCGAGCUUGGAUAGGCUUGGAUGUGGGAGUUGCGGGCUUCUCAGAAGUCGGCUCUCCUUAAAUGCAUUAGCGAAACCUUUGUUGACCAUCCCUGGUGUGAUAAUUAUCUACGCCACCGAAGGCCGGCUGCUUAUAUAGGGCUUUGCUUCUAACCUGUCUGUUCGCUCUUUGUAGUGGACGACAACCCCCUGACAUUUUGACCUCAAAUCAGGUAG